GUAGGUGGCAAGCGUUGUCCGGAAUUAUUGGGCGUGAAGCGCGCGCAGGCGGUUCUGUAAGUCUGAUGUGAAAGCCCACGGCUCAACCGUGGAGGGUCAUUGGAAACUGGAGAACUUGAGUACAGAAGAGGAAAGCGGAAUUCCACGUGUAGCGGUGAAAUGCGUAGAGAUGUGGAGGAACACCAGUGGCGAAGGCGGCUUUCUGGUCUGUAACUGACGCUGAGGCGCGAAAGCGUGGGGGAGCAAACAGGAUUAGAUACCCUGGUAGUCCACGCCGUAAACGAUGAGUGCUAAGUGUUAGGGGGUUUCCGCCCCUUAGUGCUGCAGCUAACGCAUUAAGCACUCCGCCUGGGAGUACGGCCGCAAGGCUG
RNAcentral lists this ribosomal RNA (371 nucleotides) under uncultured organism. RNAcentral's name for it is "partial 16S ribosomal RNA". It matches the Rfam family "Bacterial small subunit ribosomal RNA", at positions 527 to 896 of the family's 1533-position model. The record is from RNAcentral.